RNAcentral lists this ribosomal RNA (801 nucleotides) under uncultured fungus. RNAcentral's name for it is "SSU rRNA". It matches the Rfam family "Eukaryotic small subunit ribosomal RNA", at positions 564 to 1369 of the family's 1831-position model. Lineage: Eukaryota; Fungi. The record is from RNAcentral.
GUGCCAGCAGCCGCGGUAAUUCCAGCUCCAAUAGCGUAUAUUAAAGUUGUUGUGGUUAAAAAGCUCGUAGUUGAACCUUGGGCCUGGCUGGCCGGUCCGCCUCACCGCGUGCACUGGUCCGGCCGGGCCUUUCCCUCUGUGGAACCCCAUACCCUUCACUGGGCGUGGCGGGGAAACAGGACAUUUACUUUGAAAAAAUUAGAGUGCUCCAGGCAGGCCUAUGCUCGAAUACAUUAGCAUGGAAUAAUAAAAUAGGACGCGCGGUUCUAUUUUGUUGGUUUAUAGGACCGCCGUAAUGAUUAAUAGGGACAGUCGGGGGCAUCAGUAUUCAACUGUCAGAGGUGAAAUUCUUGGAUCAGUUGAAGACUAACUACUGCGAAAGCAUUUGCCAAGGAUGUUUUCAUUAAUCAGGAACGAAAGUUAGGGGAUCGAAGACGAUCAGAUACCGUCGUAGCCUUAACCAUAAACUAUGCCGACUAGGGAUCGGACGGUGUUAUUCAUGACCCGUUCGGCACCUUACGAGAAAUCAAAGUGCUUGGGCUCCAGGGGGAGUAUGGUCGCAAGGCUGAAACUUAAAGAAAUUGACGGAAGGGCACCACCAGGGGUGGAGCCUGCGGCUUAAUUUGACUCAACACGGGGAAACUCACCAGGUCCAGACACAAUAAGGAUUGACAGAUUGAGAGCUCUUUUCUUGAUUUUGUGGGUGGUGGUGCAUGGCCGGUUCUUAGUUGGUGGGGUGACUUGUCUGCUUAAUUGCGAUAACGAACGAGACCUUAACCUGCUUAAAUAGCCCGCAUUGCU